UACGUAGGGGGCGAGCGUUGUCCGGAUUUAUUGGGCGUAAAGAGCUCGUAGGCGGCCACUCAAGUCGAAUGUGAAACCUCGAGGCUCAACCUCGAGCCUGCAUUCGAUACUGGGCGGCUAGAGUCUGGUAGGGGGAUCUGGAAUUCCUGGUGUAGCGGUGGAAUGCGCAGAUAUCAGGAGGAACACCGGUGGCGAAGGCGGGAUCCUGGGCCAGUACUGACGCUGAGGAGCGAAAGCGUGGGGAUCAAACAGG
RNAcentral lists this ribosomal RNA (253 nucleotides) under uncultured bacterium. RNAcentral's name for it is "partial 16S ribosomal RNA". It matches the Rfam family "Bacterial small subunit ribosomal RNA", at positions 524 to 776 of the family's 1533-position model. The record is from RNAcentral.